UACGAAGGGGGCUAGCGUUGUUCGGAUUUACUGGGCGUAAAGCGCACGUAGGCGGAUCGUUAAGUCGGGGGUGAAAUCCUGGAGCUCAACUCCAGAACUGCCUUCGAUACUGGCGAUCUUGAGUCCGGAAGAGGUGAGUGGAACUCCUAGUGUAGAGGUGGAAUUCGUAGAUAUUAGGAAGAACACCAGUGGCGAAGGCGGCUCACUGGUCCAUAACUGACGCUGAGGUGCGAAAGCGUGGGGAGCAAACAGG
RNAcentral lists this ribosomal RNA (253 nucleotides) under uncultured bacterium. RNAcentral's name for it is "partial 16S ribosomal RNA". It matches the Rfam family "Bacterial small subunit ribosomal RNA", at positions 524 to 776 of the family's 1533-position model. The record is from RNAcentral.